AGUUUGAUCCUAAAAUCAGAUUGAACGCUGGCGGAUGCUUUACACAUGCAAGUCGACACUUGCUGAACUGGUCUGGUGACGAGUGGCGAACGGGUGAGUAAUGUAUCGGAACGUGCCUAGUAGCGGGGGAUAACACGCGGCGGCGGCUGUCCGCCGCCCUUCAGGGGAAAAGCGGGGUUCUUCGGGCCUCGCACUAUUAGAGCGGCCGAUAUCGGAUUAGCUAGUUGGUGGGGUAACGGCUCACCAAGGCGACGAUCAUCAACUGGAUUUCCGGGCAAUAACCUGCUGCAGGACUGAGACACGGCUAAGACUCCUGCGAGGCAGCAGUGGGGAAUUUUGGACAAUGGAAACACAGUCCAAAAGCCCAUCCACGUGUGCGAUGAAGGCCUUCGGGUUGUAAAGCACUUUUGGCAGGAAAGAAACGGCACGGGGAUAAUACCCCGUGCAACUGACGGUACCUGCAGAAUAAGCACCGGCUAACUACGUGCCAGCAGCCGCGGUAAUACGUAAGUGCAAGCGUUAAUCGGAAUUACUGGGUAAGCGUGCGCAGGCAGUUCGGAAGAAGAUGUGAAAUCCCAGAGCUUAACUUUUUGGAACUGCAUUUUAACUACCGAGCUAGAGUGCUCAGAGGAGGUGGAAUUCCGCGUGUAGCAGUGAAAUGCGUAGAUAUGCGGAGGAACACCGAUGUGGCUCAACCUCACCGAUAACACUGACGCUCGCUGCGAAAACGUGGGAGCAAACAGGAUUAGAUACCCUGUUAGUCCACGCCCUAAACGAUGUCAACUAGCUGUUGGGGCCUUCGGGCCUUGGUAACAGCUAACGCGUGAAGUUGACCGCCUGGGGAUACGGUCGCAAGAUUAAAACUCAAAGGAAUUGACAGGGACCCGCACAAGCGGUGGAUGAUGUGGAUUAAAUUCGUGCAACUGAAAGAGUACUUACCUACCCAUGACAUGUCUGGAAUCCCGAAGAGAUUUGGGAGUGCUCGCAAGAGAACCGGAACACCGUUUUGUAGCUGUCGUCAGCUCGUAUCGAAUCGCUGGGUUAAGUCCCACAACGAGCGCAACCCCAUAUCAUUAGAUUUACUCCCGAAGGGCACUCUAAUGAGACUGCCGGUGACAAACCGGAGGAAGGUGGGGAUGACGUCAAGUCCUCAUGGCCCUUAUGGGUAGGGCUUCACACGUCAUACAAUGGUCGGGACAGAGGGUCGCCAACCCGCGAGGGAGCCAAUCCCAGAAACCCGAUCGCCAGGUGGAUCGCAGUCCGCAGCUCGACUGCGUGAAGUCGAAUCGCUAGUAAUCGCGGAUCAGCAUGUCGUGGUGAAUACGUUCCCGGGUCUUGUACACCGCCCGUCAUUUUCGUGGAGUGGGUUUACCAGUAAGUUGGCCUAACCGUAAGGAGGGCGAUUACCACGGUAGGAUUCAUGACUGGGUGAAGUCGUAACAAGGUAA
Molecule: ribosomal RNA, 1448 nt
Filed under: uncultured Bordetella sp.
Lineage: Bacteria; Pseudomonadati; Pseudomonadota; Betaproteobacteria; Burkholderiales; Alcaligenaceae
Description: partial 16S-23S ribosomal RNA intergenic spacer
Rfam family: Bacterial small subunit ribosomal RNA
Source: RNAcentral